RNAcentral lists this unclassified non-coding RNA (349 nucleotides) under soil metagenome. Its description in RNAcentral is "partial contains 5.8S ribosomal RNA, internal transcribed spacer 2, and large subunit ribosomal RNA". The stretch from base 1 to 121 matches the Rfam family "5.8S ribosomal RNA", at positions 35 to 154 of the family's 154-position model. The record is from RNAcentral.
GAUGAAGAAACGCAGCGAAAUGCGAUAAGUAAUGUGAAUUGCAGAAUUCAGUGAAUCAUCGAGUCUUUGAACGCACAUUGCGCCCCCUGGUAUUCCGGGGGGCAUGCCUGUCCGAGCGUCAUUGCCGCCCUCAAGCACGGCUUGUGUGUUGGGCCCCCGCCCCCCGGCUUCGGGGGGCGGGCCCGAAAGGCAGCGGCGGCACCGCGUCCGGUCCUCGAGCGUAUGGGGCUUCGUCACCCGCUCUGUAGGCCCGGCCGGCGCCCGCCGGCGACCCCAAUCAAUCUUUCCAGGUUGACCUCGGAUCAGGUAGGGAUACCCGCUGAACUUAAGCAUAUCAAUAAGCGGAGGA